GACGGUACCGUAAGAAUAAGGACCGGCUAACUCCGUGCCAGCAGCCGGGGUAAUACGGAGGGUCCGAGCGUUAUCCGGAAUUAUUGGGUUUAAAGGGUCCGCAGGCGGGCUGAUAAGUCAGGGGUGAAAUGGUGCGCCUCAACCGUAGCACUGCCCUUGAUACUGUUAGUCUUGAGUAAUGGUGGAGUGGCCGGAAUAUGUAGUGUAGCGGUGAAAUGCAUAGAUAUUACAUAGACCACCGAUCGCGAAGGCAGGUCACUAACCAUUUACUGACGCUGAUGGACGAAAGCGUGGGGAGCGAACAGGAUUAGAUACCCUGGU
RNAcentral lists this ribosomal RNA (321 nucleotides) under uncultured Flavobacterium sp. RNAcentral's name for it is "bacterial SSU rRNA". It matches the Rfam family "Bacterial small subunit ribosomal RNA", at positions 471 to 791 of the family's 1533-position model. Lineage: Bacteria; Pseudomonadati; Bacteroidota; Flavobacteriia; Flavobacteriales; Flavobacteriaceae. The record is from RNAcentral.